GCCGCAGUAGCUCAGCCUGGGAGAGCACUCGAGGUAUGACCGAGGGAUCGUUGGUUCAAAUCCGACCUGCGGCA
Molecule: transfer RNA, 74 nt
Filed under: Microcaldota archaeon
Lineage: Archaea; Nanobdellati; Microcaldota
Description: Candidatus Micrarchaeota archaeon (hot springs metagenome) tRNA-Ile
Rfam family: tRNA
About the family: Transfer RNA (tRNA) molecules are approximately 80 nucleotides in length. Their secondary structure includes four short double-helical elements and three loops (D, anti-codon, and T loops).
Source: RNAcentral